UCACCCCUCAAGCCCGGCUUGGUGUUGGACCUCGGGCCCCCCGUCACGGGGGCCGGUCCCAAAGAUAAUGGCAGGUCGGUCGCGACCUCGGUACACUGAGCUUCACAAGAGCACGUGCCGUACGGGCGUCGACGGGCCUGGUCUCCCCCUAGAAUUUUUCUCA
RNAcentral lists this unclassified non-coding RNA (163 nucleotides) under uncultured Chaetothyriales. RNAcentral's name for it is "sequence contains ITS2". Lineage: Eukaryota; Fungi; Ascomycota; Eurotiomycetes; Chaetothyriales. The record is from RNAcentral.